Molecule: transfer RNA, 69 nt
Filed under: Cittarium pica
Lineage: Eukaryota; Metazoa; Mollusca; Gastropoda; Trochida; Tegulidae
Description: tRNA-Arg
Source: RNAcentral
UUGCAGAAAGUGAGAAAAUUACAACUGAUUUCGGCUCAGUCCUUGAUGGUGUAAGUCCGUCUCUGCUAA